UGGGGAAUUUUGGACAAUGGGCGAAAGCCUGAUCCAGCCAUGCCGCGUGAGUGAAGAAGGCCUUCGGGUUGUAAAGCUCUUUUAGUCGGAAAGAAAGAGUGGCAAUGAAUAAUUGUGAUUUAUGACGGUACCGACAGAAAAAGCACCGGCUAACUACGUGCCAGCAGCCGCGGUAAUACGUAGGGGGCGAGCGUUAAUCGGAAUUACUGGGCGUAAAGGGUGCGCAGGCGGUCUUGCAAGUCAGAUGUGAAAGCCCCGGGCUUAACCUGGGAAUUGCGUUUGAAACUACAAGACUAGAGUGCAGCAGAGGGGAGUGGAAUUCCAUGUGUAGCAGUGAAAUGCGUAGAGAUGUGGAAGAACACCGAUGGCGAAGGCAGCUCCCUGGGUUGACACUGACGCUCAUGCACGAAAGCGUGGGGAGCAAACA
RNAcentral lists this ribosomal RNA (427 nucleotides) under uncultured beta proteobacterium. RNAcentral's name for it is "bacterial SSU rRNA". It matches the Rfam family "Bacterial small subunit ribosomal RNA", at positions 355 to 774 of the family's 1533-position model. The record is from RNAcentral. Lineage: Bacteria; Pseudomonadati; Pseudomonadota; Betaproteobacteria.